CUUUUGUACCAGAGAAGGAGAAGGGUGGUGCUUGCCCUGCCUGGAGGUCUGGGGAAGGGCUCUCUGGUUAGCCCUCUCUCGGUCCUCAGCCCCUGGUUAGCCAAACACUAGCCCAGGUGCUGCUGUGAGGCAAUUCUGCAGAUUAAAGUCCCAGGUCUGGUGAUCUUAAGACACGAAGCUUAUCUGGAUGGGCCUGACCCAUUCAGGUGAAACUUGUAAAAGCAGGGUGUUUUCAGAGGCGUUAGAAGGGUCAGAGGGACAUGACACGCUGCUUCUGCUCUGAAGACAGAUGGGGCACUUGGGAAAGAAUGUGGGUGGCCUCUAGGGCUGAGUGUGGCCCAACCCAUGGCCAGAAAGGACACAGGACAUCAGACCUACAGCCUCCGGGAGGCAGAUUCUCCCACAGAUGAGAGCCCCGCUGGGGGACACCUGGCUUUUUGCCUGUAAAACCUGCACAGAGAACCCAGUCAAGCCUGGAUUCAGAUUUCUGGCCCACGGAGCUGUUGGUGGUCAGUGGGUGUUAUUGUAAGCUGCUAAGUGUGUGGUGACUUGCUAUGCAGCAGGAGACAGGAACCGGCCUCUGCUCUGGAUGAGGUUGGGGAGGCUGCUGAGAGAGGGGUCGGGUGAUUCUGUCUCUUCUGCCAGAACAUUUCCAUCCUGUGUUCAUCCACGCCAUCUACCAGAGCUCCUGGUCCCUGCCCAUGACAUAAAGACACCACAAUGAGCUGGAUGUGGGGGCCACCGGCUCCAGAGGCUAAGGGAGAGUGGACCUGUGCCGCUCUGUGCUCAACCAGUUCACCGAAGAGCCGGCAACCAGCUCUGACACAGGCGGCCACACCCCACUUCUGGAAAACACCGCUCAGACUCCAAGGGUGCUUCUUGGCCACCCCUUCCCCCCUGGGGCCCUCCCCCACCGCAGAUCCCGCUGCCAGCUCUGGGGGCUGUGUGGGCCCUGGGCCACCACGAGAAGCACUUGGUACUGCAGGCUCUUGGAGGGCCCAGUUUCUCCCUCGGGCAUCCAGCCUGCAGGAACGUUCCAGGCCACAGGGUCGCUCUUCCUGGCCCCACCUCUCGCCUUGACCUGGGUCAUUUUUUGCAGCACUUCUCAAAUGCUGCCCUGCACUGUCCUCGUGGCAGAAGGGAACUUUUCAGCUGCUUACAAGGAAGCCACGCACACACAAAAAAACUGACUGUUGCCAAUUCUCGCCUUCAAAAGUGACAGAUCAUAGUGGAGAUGCUGGCCUCAGGGUUCUGGUUAGCCAGGAGCAGAGGAGAACUUGUCAUUUCAGAGCACCAGCCAGUGCCUCAUGCUACUAACUGCUGGAGUCUUGGCUUACCUGAGCAAGUUAGUGAGCUUGUGUGUUACUCAGGACUCUUUUCACUGCAAAUGACAGAUUUGCAACCCAAAUCCCUAAAGUAAGAAUAAUAUUUAUUGGUUCACUACAUGGAAAACAGAAUCUAUAGUUGUCCUUAGCUUCAGGUACGGCGGUAUCCAGGGGCUCAGUGGUGUGUCUCCUCUGCUUUCCUCCGUGGAUAACCUCAUCUGUUUAACAGAGGAUGAUGGUAGCUCUAGGUU
Molecule: long non-coding RNA, 1576 nt
Organism: Bos taurus (domestic cattle)
Lineage: Eukaryota; Metazoa; Chordata; Mammalia; Artiodactyla; Bovidae
Source: Ensembl